UAAUAUCUUCGGGGCGGGGUGUAAUUCCCCACCGGUGGUUAUAGCCCACGAGCUAAGUUUUAGCAUGAUUCGGUGAAAUUCCGAGGCCGACAGUACAGUCUGGAUGAAAGAAGGUAAGA
RNAcentral lists this non-coding RNA (119 nucleotides) under Clostridium colicanis 209318. Its description in RNAcentral is "FMN riboswitch aptamer (RFN element)". It matches the Rfam family "FMN riboswitch aptamer (RFN element)". From Rfam's summary of the family: The RFN element is a highly conserved domain that is found frequently in the 5'-untranslated regions of prokaryotic mRNAs that encode for flavin mononucleotide (FMN) biosynthesis and transport proteins. This element is a metabolite-dependent riboswitch that directly binds FMN in the absence of proteins. In Bacillus subtilis, the riboswitch most likely controls gene expression by causing premature transcription termination within the 5' untranslated region of the ribDEAHT operon and precluding access to the ribosome-binding site of ypaA mRNA. Lineage: Bacteria; Bacillati; Bacillota; Clostridia; Eubacteriales; Clostridiaceae. The record is from Rfam by way of RNAcentral.